CAAUAGCGUAUAUUAAAGUUGUUGCAGUUAAAAAGCUCGUAGUUGGAUUUCUGGUGGGAGCGAUCGGUCUGGCGCUUAGCGCGAGUACUUGCAUCGUCUCCGGCCAUCCUUGGGGAGAGUCUGUCUGGCAUUAAGUUGUCGGGCAGAGGAUCCUCAUCGUUUACUGUGAAAAAAUUAGAGUGUUCAAAGCAGGCUUAUGCCGUUGAAUAUAUUAGCAUGGAAUAAUAAGAUAGGACUUUGGUACUAUUUUGUUGGUUUGCGCACCAAAGUAAUGAUUAAUAGGGACAGUUGGGGGUAUUCGUAUUCCGUUGUCAGAGGUGAAAUUCUUGGAUUUACGAAAGACGAACUACUGCGAAAGCAUUUACCAAGGAUGUUUUCAUUAA
RNAcentral lists this ribosomal RNA (383 nucleotides) under uncultured eukaryote. Its description in RNAcentral is "partial 18S ribosomal RNA". It matches the Rfam family "Eukaryotic small subunit ribosomal RNA", at positions 592 to 976 of the family's 1831-position model. The record is from RNAcentral.